UACGGAGGGUGCAAGCAUUAAUCGGAUUUAUUGGGCGUAAAGGGCGCGUAGGCGGGGAUAUAAGUCAGAUGUGAAAUCCUGGGGCUCAACCUCAGAACUGCAUUUGAAACUGUAUCUCUUGAGGGUAGGAGGAGAAAACGGAAUUCCACAAGUAGCGGUGAAAUGCGUAGAUAUGUGGAAGAACACCGGUGGCGAAGGCGGUUUUCUAUCUUAUUCCUGACGCUGAUGCGCGAAAGCAAGGGGAUCAAACAGG
Molecule: ribosomal RNA, 253 nt
Filed under: uncultured bacterium
Lineage: Bacteria
Description: partial 16S ribosomal RNA
Rfam family: Bacterial small subunit ribosomal RNA
Source: RNAcentral